RNAcentral lists this ribosomal RNA (490 nucleotides) under uncultured bacterium. RNAcentral describes it as "bacterial SSU rRNA". It matches the Rfam family "Bacterial small subunit ribosomal RNA", at positions 66 to 543 of the family's 1533-position model. The record is from RNAcentral.
GCGAGAACCGGUCCUUCGGGGCCGGGGACAGCGGCGAACGGGUGAGUAACACGUGGGUAAUCUGCCCUCGGCACCGGGAUAGCCCGGGGAAACCCGGAUUAAUACCGGAUGGCCUUUCGAAUCUUCGGGUUCGAAUGAAAAGGUAGCUUCGGCCUCCGGCCGAGGAUGAGCCCGCGGCCGAUUAGCUUGUUGGUGAGGUAACGGCUCACCAAGGCUCCGAUCGGUAGCUGGUCUGAGAGGACGAUCAGCCACACUGGGACUGAGACACGGCCCAGACUCCUACGGGAGGCAGCAGUGGGGAAUCUUGCGCAAUGGGCGAAAGCCUGACGCAGCGACGCCGUGUGCGGGAAGAAGGCCUUCGGGUUGUAAACCGCUUUCAGGAGGGACGAAGCCACUCGGGUUAAUAGCCCAGAGGGUGACGGUACUUCCAGAAGAAGCCCCGGCUAACUACGUGCCAGCAGCCGCGGUAAUACGUAGGGGGCUAGCGUUG